GUUGAUUCAUCCAGCUAUGACUAGUUAUGACACAAUUCUGUAAAUUGUGUGCUAAAUCAAACAUCAAGGUCGUUUCUAUUCUGCUAAUGAACCAGUUCUUUCGGUUGCAGUUAACCCAAUUUAAAAUACAGGAAGCAAUUAAAAAGAAAUGAAUAAUUUUCAUGAAAUUGAUCCAUUACUUUGAGGUUACAGGAGAAUGAAUCAUAUACAACUUUUUUUUGUUAAACAAGAAGAUUAUACCAACCCUCUACAAUCUCGCAUCUGAGCGCGUCAACUGCAAAGCUGAGAGCACAACUGCUGAACUUGGGAAGACGAAUCAUCUGAUAGUAGAUAGACGUGGCUUUUCCCAUUGUUCAAGCAUGUCAAGUUGAAAUAAUUUCCAAGUUGGCUUGACUCACAAGAAAAAUUCUGCCACUUGCAGCUCCAUAAUGAGGUAGGGACACAGCUCAAAUAAUGACACCAAGAACAGUAAUUAUUCAAAUCCACCCCUCGAAGGAGUGCAAGCAACCCAGCAGUAAAUCCAACAAUCAAUAGUAUCAGAGAGACAACCCACAGUACAUACUGAUAUGUCUUGUGUCUAGAUUUAGAUGGAGGUGCAAUGUAUCCUGGAGGACAAGCCUUUUGGUUAACCCAUCCAAACUGGGGCCGAAUUAACAACACAAAUCCGAGAAGAAAACCAGAAAGAAAUCCUCCAAUAUGGGCAAAGUUAUCCACAUGUGGAAGGAUUCCAACUGCUAAAUUUAUUAUGAUGAUCAAAACAAGAGUCAAUAAUGCUGCCAACUUAUUUGCAUAUAUGGUCCAGUUUGUAAUCAGCUCUGAAAGCAUGCCUCCAAGUAGGCCAAAAAGUGCACCAGAGGCACCAACGGAGAUACCCAUCUGAAUAAAAAGAGCUGACAACAAACUCCCACCAAAACCAGAAAUAACAUAGACCAACCCAAUUCGGACUGUAAAAAUGUAAAUCAAAGAAAUUAUAAUUUGUACUUGAUAAGUGUUAACUAAUCUUCAACCAAAAAUAACAAAAAGAUCCAAUGCUGCACACAAGUUCAGAGACUUCCUCUCCUACCCACCUCCUCUUCAAAUUAUCAUCCAUAAACACAUUCAUGAAGCUGCUGAUCUACUCUGGAUAUUUCUUAUAUAUAAGCGCAGUCUGAAACAGCCCAGCCAUUGAAUGUGUUACUUUUCUAGUGCUUUUGAGUAAGUUUUUUAUGUUUUUAAAUUUGUGCACUGUGAUUGAGUCAAGUAUUUUAUCAAUGAAAGCAACUUCAUAAUUACCAUCACAGGGUCAGAUUAACAGAUGUUCACAUGACUGCAAAUAUCAUACAAUUUCUUCAAAAACUUCCGACUCAAAGUAGACAACAAAUAACAGACAGCACUCAGAUAUAUUUUCAGUAUUUAAAUUCAGUAGAGUACACAAUUAUUUUUCAUUUAUCCAUCUAUAAACCCAAUGCACCUGGUAACUUCUCUGUUAUUAAUUUGAUACCUAAACUUAAAAUGACUGAAUGAUUUAUAAUUAAUUCUUGCAUCCACCAGAAAGAACUGCUACUAAGGAUUAUUUACUUGUAUUGUCAUAUACGUAGAUAAACCCAAUGCACCUAGUAACUUCUCUGUUAUUAAUUUGAUACCUAAACUUAAAAUGACUGAAUGAUUUAUAAUUAAUUCUUGCAUCCACCAGAAAGAACUGCUACUAAGGAUUAUUUACUUGUAUUGUCAUAUACGUAGAUAAACCCAAUGCACCUA
Molecule: unclassified non-coding RNA, 1737 nt
Filed under: Hevea brasiliensis (rubber tree)
Lineage: Eukaryota; Viridiplantae; Streptophyta; Magnoliopsida; Malpighiales; Euphorbiaceae
Source: RNAcentral